GCUUCCAUGACUUCAUCCUCCUCCUCCCUCCUGACAGCCUCUGCUGCACCCUCUGCCUACAUUGCUGCCUACAAUAAUUCUCCUUUCUUGGCUCAGAGGACAUUUUCUCAGAGGAGACUUUCCUGACCUCCCUGAAUAGGCCAAAUUCCUAUCUGCCUCCCCGACUAGAGUAUGAGCUCGUGACAACAGGCUCCAUGUCAACUUUCUGGACACCUAAGGUCUGGCAUGGCUCCUGGCACAAGGCAGGCACCCAAAAGUAGAGACAGGAUUUCACCGUGUUAACCAGGAUGGUCUCAAUCUCCUGACCUUGUGAUCCGCGUGCCUCGGCCUUUCAAAGGGCUGGGAUUACAGGCGUGAGCCACCACGCCAGGCCGAAGAAUGUCAUUUCUAUUGGGGAUGUCGUAAGAUACCAGACAACUGAGCAGAUGUUGGAAAUAAGUUCAGUUUGCUUCUGUUAAGAAUCUUAUACUCAUCUCAAUAAUAGCAUUUUGGGACCCAAGCGAUUUGGUAUUCUUAAAAAUUUGUGUUGAGAUCUUUAUUAAAGCUUUCCCUCAUGCAAUUAGAAUCUGGACUCUGUUCCCUUUCCCCCACUUCCACCUUACCAAGCCUCUUGCUAAAGGUACCCCUGGAGACAUCUAGAGCAAGACAUUUGUCUAGAAGGUCCCGCUGGUCUCCACAACAGAUACACAGAAUCUCCAAGAAGGUUUGUGGAGUGAAUGGCAGUCGGGGCAGAAACUCUCAGUACACAUCAAUCCAGUGUCAAUCCAGGAGCACGAAAGAGAUGAAUUCUGGAGAACAAAAUGGGGAAGCAAUUCAUGAUUCAACCAUGCCAGAAAGACCAGUGAGCACAGAAAGAGCCUCACAAUUUGGAAUCAUCAUAGACCAUGGAGAAAUGAAGUUGCCGAAGAUAAAAAAUCAGGUUUCACUGGUAUCAUACAGGCUGGGCUUAGUUUCCUAUAAAGAGAUAUAGUGGCUUGCAUGGGGAUAAGUAGGAGUUUUAAAGAAUUCCUUGAUUGUAUAAUAGUUGGUUCCUAAUAGGCACAAAGCAGAAGCUUGAAGGAUGUGAAGUUAUUUGCAUAAAGUGCUCAUAUUUUCUUCUGCUUCUGUCCUCAGGGACAAAUUGGCUAGCCAAUAACGCAUAUACACACGCGGGGAGGGGCAUAUACACUUACUCAAACUCAGAAACAUUCAGAACAUUAAAAAGUGCACAAGAAGGUCAGGUGCAAUGUCUCACACCUGUAAUUCCAGCACUUUGGGAGGCUGAGGCGUGUGGAUCGGUUGAGUCCAGAAGUUUGAGACCAGCCUGCACAACAUGGCAAAACCCUGUUUCUACAAA
Long non-coding RNA from Piliocolobus tephrosceles (Ugandan red Colobus), 1336 nucleotides. RefSeq lists it as uncharacterized. Lineage: Eukaryota; Metazoa; Chordata; Mammalia; Primates; Cercopithecidae. The record is from RefSeq and is a predicted model, not a curated record. The transcript is spliced from 3 exons.